AGGACGAACGCUGGCGGCGUGCUUAACACAUGCAAGUCGAGCGGAAAGGCCCUUCGGGGUACUCGAGCGGCGAACGGGUGAGUAACACGUGGGCAACCUGCCCUUAGCUCUGGGAUAGCUCCGGGAAACCGGAAUUAAUACCGGAUAUGACCUAGGCCGACAUCGGCCGUGGUGGAAAGUUUUUCGGCUAGAGAUGGACUCGCGGCCUAUCAGCUAGUUGGUGGGGUAACGGCCCACCAAGGCGACGACGGGUAGCCGGCCUGAGAGGGCGACCGGCCACACUGGGACUGAGACACGGCCCAGACUCCUACGGGAGGCAGCAGUGGGGAAUAUUGCGCAAUGGGCGAAAGCCUGACGCAGCGACGCCGCGUGGGGGAUGAAGGCCUUCGGGUUGUAAACCCCUUUCAGCAGGGACGAAGCGAAAGUGACGGUACCUGCAGAAGAAGCGCCGGCUAACUACGUGCCAGCAGCCGC
This 474-nucleotide ribosomal RNA is filed under the name uncultured bacterium. RNAcentral describes it as "SSU rRNA". It matches the Rfam family "Bacterial small subunit ribosomal RNA", at positions 26 to 518 of the family's 1533-position model. The record is from RNAcentral.